ACUUGAUUUUCUGCUAGAAAAUUACUAGAAACUUAUAUUUCUUGGUUAGAUUGUCAUAAAUUCAUAAAUUCAAUCUCAUGCUGACCUAAUUCUAGAUUAGAAUACAAAAUGUCACGUGAUAUCUACACAUACGGAAAAGACGUAGUUUGUUAAGUUUGGAUUUAUUUUAUAAAUAGUGUUGGGGAUUUUAUUCCAUGUGCUUCUGGAGACAUGUGGACAUCAGUGGAUGAUCUGGUGAAUGAACUUGAGGCAUGAACAAAGGAAAAACUACACAGAUUGACAAGUUGGAAAAGAUUACAAGAUAAACAAAAUGGAGUGGAGAGGAUCAGGUAUUGGGGACACACCUGAGAGAGGUAAUAAAGAUAUGCUACACAGUCUAGGAAGUAUACAUCGUUGGAUUGUUAUGUGACAUGUUUAUCAAUGGACCUUUCCAGUGUUUACAGUUUUAUGUAAAUUGGCUAGCUUGUUAUACUGUUUGUGAGCAGUUGACCUAGCAAUGAAUGGAAAAGGUGUGGCUAAAUGUUCCUCUACGAAAAACCAGAAAGGUCCAUCGUGGGUAUCCAACAAUGGGAAGUAUAUUAGACUUAAUAGUAAAUCGUAACUUUUACUUAGCUUCUUAAUUAAACACAGUACAAUCAGCAUUUUGAAUUAAAGCCAUGGCUAAUUAUUUGUAAAUAGCUCAAUAAAGUAAAGAAAAAUAACUUUCUUAAGACAAGAUAUGAAUGUAAGUAAUAUUUAUAAACACAUUUAUUGUUUAUGAUUUUUUUUUUAUUAUGCAUGUACUUACCCUGAAUAUUUAUGUUACACAUGACCAUUUAGAAAUAAAGGGCUUUAGACAGGAAAUAUUUAAUAUCUUGAUGUCAUUAUAUAACUAGAAGUACACUGUUUAUGCCCCUAGUGUCAGGAUUAUUUCUAUUGCCAUCUUCCUGUUUGCACUCUCAAGUAUUCUCAUUCAAUAAUUGCUCCAAGUAUACGAUCUAAAAUCCCGGUUAAUUUUAAGCAAUCUUCCAUAACAAAUACUUUUUUUUGUUUGUUUGUUUCAUUUUACGCCUUUUCCUAACAGUAUGUCAGUCAUAUAGGCGGGUAGUUUCCUAACCAUCGUUCCUGGAGAGUUACACUAGUACUAGACUACCUUCCUCCGCGUUAAACUACCAAAGUAUCUCCCGGGGAUCGAACCCAUACCAGAGAGGUAACUGGAUUAGAAGUCAUCGACUCUAACCCCCUCGACCACGUUUUUUUUUUUUUUUUUUUUUUUACAGAGUCAUUUGGUAAGAACAAUUUCUUCUUCCACUAAUAAGAAUUUAUUCAUUCCUCUUGUAAGAUUUUCUUGUUCCUCUGGUUUUAUAUCAGGUACACUUUAUACUGGAUCCAAUAAUCAGGAAAGCAGCAAAUUAUAUUUAAGAAAAAAUAUUGGUCUCAAAGUUGUUUAUUGGCUAUUUAACUCUGGUUUGGAGUUUUGAUGUGUAGGAAUUGACCACAAAGGCUAUUAUAUAUUGCAUCAAAAGGACAAACCUGAGUGUUAAAUAGCCAACAAACACUGUAUAAUUUCUUGUUAUAAGCAAACUUCUAGUCUCCUUUCACCAGCUUAAGCUAUGGAAAUCAGUCUUCCUAUUUGUUUUUUUUUCCUAUUUUUUCUUUCUGUGGUGCAGAACUCUGGUUUCAUUCAUGUCUUUUGUAAGCAAAUGCACAGGAUAUGUUGCUAAACUGUUCUUUUCAGUACAUUAGUUGAAAAAGCGUAAUAGGUGUCAUCCCGAAAUACUAACAUGAAGACCUGAUAACUGUUCGCUGCGCCACAAAUUCUUCGGACAUCAUCAUUUUAACUUACCUGUAUUCUAUGAGAUAUUUUCAUUUUACCGUAUCUUGUUCAUUCCUUUAUUUAACUGAAAUUUUCUGAGAUGAGGUAAGCAGCAGAGGAAGUCAACAUGAUAUUGUGCAGACACAUCAUCCGAUAUUUCAAAUUUAUGUAACUUAUUUAAGCCUAUUCACCACAAAAUGCAAAUUAUUUGAUUGCCAGGAGCUCAAACACUGAAAUUUUUUAAGUAACUAGAGUAGAUAUUUUGUAAAUGAUUUGUUGUUAUGUAAAGAUAUAAAAUUAUAGGUUAUAUGUGUGAAUUAUAAUCUACAAUGUAUUGGCAUUAAAAAUGUGCUAUUCAAUAAUAUUUGUACUUUUUGAACAACCCUUGUUAGUGCAAAACAUUUUAAUUAGGUGUGUACCAAUAUUUUGUAUGUUUUCCAUAUGCACUCAAAAUGAACAUAGAAAAAGUAGUGAUGUAGCAUCAUAUCUGUCAAUUUCAUUCUUUAUUUGUAUACUAUAAAAGAACAUUUUGUAUUGUUGCUGCAAACAAAAAGGUUAAUAUUUUAAGAUGGUAUUAUUAGGAACGAAAUGUCAAUGGUUUUCACAUCUUUGAAUUCAUACAGUUUUCAUACACCUUUAAUUUCAACAAUGAAAAAGCUGCACAACAGAUUAUGAAAUAUAAUGAAACUUGACAAGAUGGAUCAGUCUGGUUUAUUACCAUCGGAAUGCAUCUUCAGUAGUAAUUGAUCAUAUGGAGAUCACCUUUCUUGCAUGUGUCAAUAAUUUAGUAGAACAAAAUUUAAUACUAAGAAUUAUUUGUGUUUUUUCUUCUUCUUUUUUCAAAAGUUCAAAUGUUUGUUAUAUUAAUACAGGUAUUGAAAAAUAAUGAAAAAACACAUACAUUUCACACUUUAAAUGUAAAUAAGAGCUGUUGAGUGUUACCAAAAUUUUUCAUUUAAAUAUAUAAAUGUUUGAAUGAAAUAUAAAACCUUACCCUCCUGUUUAUAAUUUGUGUUACGGGUAAUAAAAAUUCAGAAAGCUAACUGAUCUGUAUUCUUACUUUAUUUCUUCCUUUGUACACCAUGCUAGUUGCACCCUGGCCCAACGGUUUUGUUAUGUCCCAAAGGUAACUAAGAGAUCCUCUCAAACUCAUUUCAGUUUAAUAGUUCAAAUCAGAGAACACAGAAUUCUUGAAUUUCAUUUCUUUUGCUGUAAC
Molecule: long non-coding RNA, 3011 nt
Organism: Ruditapes philippinarum (Manila clam)
Lineage: Eukaryota; Metazoa; Mollusca; Bivalvia; Venerida; Veneridae
Exons: 3
Source: RefSeq, a predicted model, not a curated record